UUGGGGAUUGUUGAAGAGCAGAGGGAUCUAGGAGUGCAGGUACAUAGUUCCUUGAAAGUAGCAUCGCAGGUAGAUAGGGUGGUCAAAAAGGCUUUUGGCACAUAGGCCUGCAUCAGCAGA
Long non-coding RNA from Amblyraja radiata (thorny skate), 120 nucleotides. RefSeq lists it as uncharacterized. The transcript has 3 exons. The record is from RefSeq and is a predicted model, not a curated record. NCBI's taxonomy places the organism in Eukaryota, Metazoa, Chordata, Chondrichthyes, Rajiformes, Rajidae.